AUCGCAAGACCUCGCGCGAUUGGGANCGGGCCGAUAUCAGNUUAGCUAGUUGGGUGAGGUAAAGGCUCACCAAGGCGACGAUCUGUAGCUGGUCUGAGAGGACGACCAGCCANACUGGGACUGAGACACGGCCCAGACUCCUACGGGAGGCAGCAGUGGGGAAUUUUGGACAAUGGGCGCAAGCCUGAUCCAGCAAUGCCGCGUGCAGGAUGAAGGCCUUCGGGUUGUAAACUGCUUUUGUACGGAACGAAACGGUGAGCUCUAAUACAGCUUGCUAAUGACGGUACCGUAAGAAUAAGCACCGGCUAACUACGUG
RNAcentral lists this ribosomal RNA (316 nucleotides) under uncultured bacterium. Its description in RNAcentral is "bacterial SSU rRNA". It matches the Rfam family "Bacterial small subunit ribosomal RNA", at positions 202 to 507 of the family's 1533-position model. The record is from RNAcentral.